CACCACCACCACUUCCACCUCUGUUACCACCACCGCCACCUCGCUUUUCUCUUUCGUCAUAGCCAUAACCUCCGCCACCAUCUUCAAUUCGAACAUGUUGUAGUAACCUAAUUUCAUUUAAGAAAGAGACUUUUCGGACAUAAUAAACGAUAGAUAAAUAAAUUCUGGUUGGAAAUUAGUAGAUGAAUCAACUGAGAUCGAGAUAUAAUCAUUAUUAUCAUCAGUUCAUCAUUAAGAUUCAAGAGAAAUCUCUUUUUAGGAUUUAAUUUCUGUUGCAUGUCUUAGGGGUACUAAUACUAUAGAUUGGUGUAGUAGAAUUGGAGUCGGAUGAGUUGGAGGUGGUGCUGGUGGAAGUGGAGGAUUAGGUUGUGGAGUAUGAGAUGCUUCUGUGUUGGUGAUGGACGAGAAUUCAUUUUCUCAUAUUGGGUACUCUGCAUAUUAAUUUGAUCUUCUCGUAAUUGAAUCUUUGUGGUAUUAAAUUUCUGUUGAAUUUCUUGUAUGUAUCUAAUUGUUGAGUGCAGUUCUUAAGGCACUGGUACUAGUACUAGCUUUACUAAUGAAUUUCAAUGGCUUAUCUCAGAUCAGGAAGCAGAUGUUGAGUUUGACGGAGGCAAACAGAGGCUAGAAUUUUUAACACGCAGGACGCACCAUUUGAGGAAGAUAUAUGGCGUAUUGGGUGGCAGAAUAGUGGAAUGCAAUCCAAGAACGAGAAGGAUAUGAUUCUUCUAGGAGGUAUCGUUUUAGUGUGCAAACUAUUGAAAUUGUUUUUGCUAUGAAUUUCAUAAUUUCAUGGAAAUUUUGUUUUGGGAACUGUUUGGUAGGGCUUGAAGGUUGGUAUCAGAACGUUUAGGCUAGAAACACAAAACAAACAAGUUUUAAACCCAUAAAUGGGCUCAACUCCUGUUAUUGACCCAAUUUUUUAUGGGAUCAACUAUGGUUAUUGAUCCAUUUAUGGGAUCAAUUCCUGUUGUUAAC
Molecule: long non-coding RNA, 975 nt
Organism: Papaver somniferum (opium poppy)
Lineage: Eukaryota; Viridiplantae; Streptophyta; Magnoliopsida; Ranunculales; Papaveraceae
Exons: 3
Source: RefSeq, a predicted model, not a curated record